This 494-nucleotide ribosomal RNA is filed under the name uncultured bacterium. Its description in RNAcentral is "partial 16S ribosomal RNA". It matches the Rfam family "Bacterial small subunit ribosomal RNA", at positions 28 to 507 of the family's 1533-position model. The record is from RNAcentral.
GACGAACGCUGGCGGCGUGCUUAACACAUGCAAGUCGAACGGUGAAGCGCCUUCCUUUUUGGUGGGUGUGGAUGAGUGGCGAACGGGUGAGUAACACGUGAGUAACCUGCCCCCUUCUUCUGGAUAACCGCAUGAAAGUGUGGCUAAUACGGGAUAUUCUGGGUCUGUCGCAUGAUGGGUCUGGGAAAGAUAUUGUUUCGGUGGGGGAUGGGCUCGCGGCCUAUCAGCUUGUUGGUGGGGUGAUGGCCUACCAAGGCGGUGACGGGUAGCCGGCCUGAGAGGGUGGGCGGUCACACUGGGGCUGAGACACGGCCCAGACUCCUACGGGAGGCAGCAGGGGGGAAUAGUGCACAAUGGGCGCAAGCCUGAUGCAGCGACGCCGCGUGAGGGAUGGAGGCCUUCGGGUUGUGAACCUCUUUCGCCAGUGAAGCAGGCCUGCCUCGUUUGUGGGUGGGUUGACGGUAGCUGGAUAAGAAGCGCCGGCUAACUACGUG